UAGGGAAUUUUCGUCAAUGGGCGCAAGCCUGAACGAGCAAUGCCGCGUGAACGAGGAAGGUCUUCGGAUCGUAAAGUUCUGUUGAAGGGGAAAAAGGGAACGGAUAGGAAAUGAUCUGUUGGUGAUAUUACCCUUCGAGGAAGUCACGGCUAACUACGUGCCAGCAGCCGCGGUAAUACGUAGGUGGCGAGCGUUAUCCGGAAUGAUUGGGCGUAAAGGGUGCGUAGGCGGUCGAUUAAGUCUGGAGUGAAAGGUACCGGCUCAACCGGUAUAGGCUCUGGAAACUGAUGGACUGGAGUACAG
RNAcentral lists this ribosomal RNA (303 nucleotides) under uncultured bacterium. RNAcentral's name for it is "bacterial SSU rRNA". It matches the Rfam family "Bacterial small subunit ribosomal RNA", at positions 355 to 651 of the family's 1533-position model. The record is from RNAcentral.